GACGAACGCUGGCGGCGUGCUUAACACAUGCAAGUCGAACGGAAAGGCCCUGCUUUUGUGCGGUGCUCGAGUGGCGAACGGGUGAGUAACACGUGAGUAACCUGCCCUUGACUUUGGGAUAACUUCAGGAAACUGGGGCUAAUACCGGAUAGGAGCUCCUGCUGCAUGGUGGGGGGUGGAAAGUUUCGGCGGUUGGGGCUGGAUUCGCGGCUUAUCAGCUUGUUGGUGGGGGAGUGGCUUACCAAGGCCUUGACGGGUAGCCGGCCUGAGAGGGUGACCGGCCACAAUGGGACUGAGGUACGGCCCAGACUCCUACGGGAGGCAGCGGUGGGGAGUAUUGCACAAUGGGAGGAAGCCUGAUGCAACAGCGCCGCGUGCGGGAUGACGGCCUUCGGGUUGUAAACCGCUUUCGCCUGUGACGAAGCGUGAGUGACGGUAAUGGGUGAAGAAGCACCGGCUAACUACGUG
This 468-nucleotide ribosomal RNA is filed under the name uncultured bacterium. RNAcentral's name for it is "partial 16S ribosomal RNA". It matches the Rfam family "Bacterial small subunit ribosomal RNA", at positions 28 to 507 of the family's 1533-position model. The record is from RNAcentral.